This 1522-nucleotide ribosomal RNA is filed under the name Escherichia coli. RNAcentral describes it as "partial 23S ribosomal RNA". It matches the Rfam family "Bacterial large subunit ribosomal RNA", at positions 1413 to 2915 of the family's 2925-position model. The record is from RNAcentral. RNAcentral also lists the same sequence under 1 other name. Lineage: Bacteria; Pseudomonadati; Pseudomonadota; Gammaproteobacteria; Enterobacterales; Enterobacteriaceae.
AGUCGAUGGGAAACAGGUUAAUAUUCCUGUACUUGGUGUUACUGCGAAGGGGGGACGGAGAAGGCUAUGUUGGCCGGGCGACGGUUGUCCCGGUUUAAGCGUGUAGGCUGGUUUUCCAGGCAAAUCCGGAAAAUCAAGGCUGAGGCGUGAUGACGAGGCACUACGGUGCUGAAGCAACAAAUGCCCUGCUUCCAGGAAAAGCCUCUAAGCAUCAGGUAACAUCAAAUCGUACCCCAAACCGACACAGGUGGUCAGGUAGAGAAUACCAAGGCGCUUGAGAGAACUCGGGUGAAGGAACUAGGCAAAAUGGUGCCGUAACUUCGGGAGAAGGCACGCUGAUAUGUAGGUGAAGUCCCUUGCGGAUGGAGCUGAAAUCAGUCGAAGAUACCAGCUGGCUGCAACUGUUUAUUAAAAACACAGCACUGUGCAAACACGAAAGUGGACGUAUACGGUGUGACGCCUGCCCGGUGCCGGAAGGUUAAUUGAUGGGGUCAGCGCAAGCGAAGCUCUUGAUCGAAGCCCCGGUAAACGGCGGCCGUAACUAUAACGGUCCUAAGGUAGCGAAAUUCCUUGUCGGGUAAGUUCCGACCUGCACGAAUGGCGUAAUGAUGGCCAGGCUGUCUCCACCCGAGACUCAGUGAAAUUGAACUCGCUGUGAAGAUGCAGUGUACCCGCGGCAAGACGGAAAGACCCCGUGAACCUUUACUAUAGCUUGACACUGAACAUUGAGCCUUGAUGUGUAGGAUAGGUGGGAGGCUUUGAAGUGUGGACGCCAGUCUGCAUGGAGCCGGCCUUGAAAUACCACCCUUUAAUGUUUGAUGUUCUAACGUGGACCCGUGAUCCGGGUUGCGGACAGUGUCUGGUGGGUAGUUUGACUGGGGCGGUCUCCUCCUAAAGAGUAACGGAGGAGCACGAAGGUUGGCUAAUCCUGGUCGGACAUCAGGAGGUUAGUGCAAUGGCAUAAGCCAGCUUGACUGCGAGCGUGACGGCGCGAGCAGGUGCGAAAGCAGGUCAUAGUGAUCCGGUGGUUCUGAAUGGAAGGGCCAUCGCUCAACGGAUAAAAGGUACUCCGGGGAUAACAGGCUGAUACCGCCCAAGAGUUCAUAUCGACGGCGGUGUUUGGCACCUCGAUGUCGGCUCAUCACAUCCUGGGGCUGAAGUAGGUCCCAAGGGUAUGGCUGUUCGCCAUUUAAAGUGGUACGCGAGCUGGGUUUAGAACGUCGUGAGACAGUUCGGUCCCUAUCUGCCGUGGGCGCUGGAGAACUGAGGGGGGCUGCUCCUAGUACGAGAGGACCGGAGUGGACGCAUCACUGGUGUUCGGGUUGUCAUGCCAAUGGCACUGCCCGGUAGCUAAAUGCGGAAGAGAUAAGUGCUGAAAGCAUCUAAGCACGAAACUUGCCCCGAGAUGAGUUCUCCCUGACCCUUUAAGGGUCCUGAAGGAACGUUGAAGACGACGACGUUGAUAGGCCGGGUGUGUAAGCGCAGCGAUGCGUUGAGCUAACCGGUACUAAUGAACCGUGAG